GCUGACACAUCCCGGCCAAUCUCUAGCAGACCCUCCCUCCCAGACCCUGCCACCUCCUGGACAGCAUCCAUGUUGAAGCUGCCUUCAACAUGGAUGCUGUCCAGGAGGUGGGAGGGUCUGGGAGGGAGGGUCUGCUGGAGAUUGGCCGGGAUGUGUCAG
Pelobates cultripes (western spadefoot toad) is the source of this 159-nucleotide non-coding RNA. The record is from the annotation of a GenBank genome assembly. Lineage: Eukaryota; Metazoa; Chordata; Amphibia; Anura; Pelobatidae.